Molecule: ribosomal RNA, 555 nt
Filed under: Diaporthe liquidambaris
Lineage: Eukaryota; Fungi; Ascomycota; Sordariomycetes; Diaporthales; Diaporthaceae
Also listed under: 1 other name
Description: SSU rRNA
Rfam family: Eukaryotic small subunit ribosomal RNA
Source: RNAcentral
AAGGGGUGUAUUUAUUAGAUUAAAAACCAAUGCCCUUCGGGGCUCACUGGUGAUUCAUAAUAACUUCUCGAAUCGCAUGGCCUUGCGCCGGCGAUGGUUCAUUCAAAUUUCUGCCCUAUCAACUUUCGACGGCUGGGUCUUGGCCAGCCGUGGUUACAACGGGUAACGGAGGGUUAGGGCUUGACCCCGGAGAAGGAGCCUGAGAAACGGCUACUACAUCCAAGGAAGGCAGCAGGCGCGCGAAUUACCCAAUCCCGACUCGGGGAGGUAGUGACAAUAAAUACUGAUACAGGGCUCUUUUGGGUCUUGUAAUUGGAAUGAGUACAAUUUAAAUCCCUUAUCGAGGAAUAAUUGGAGGGCAAGUCUGGUGCCAGCAGCCGCGGUAAUUCCAGCUCCAAUAGCGUAUAUUAAAGUUGUUGCAGUUAAAAAGCUCGUAGUUGAACCUUGGGCCUGGCUGGCCGGUCUGCCUCACCGCAUGCACUGGUCCGGCCGGGCCUUUCCCUCUGGGGAGCCGCAUGCCCUUCACUGGGUGUGUCGGGGAACCAGGACUUUUAC